GAGCGGAAAGGCCCUUCGGGGUACUCGAGCGGCGAACGGGUGAGUAACACGUGAGCAACCUGCCCCUGGCUCUGGGAUAGCUCCCGGAAACGGGGAUUAAUACCGGAUACGACCCUGGUCCUCAUGGACCGGGGUGGAAAGUUUUUCGGCCAGGGUGGGGCUCGCGGCCUAUCAGCUUGUUGGGGGGGUAACGGCCCACCAAGGCGACGACGGGUAGCCGGCCUGAGAGGGCGACCGGCCACACUGGGACUGAGACACGGCCCAGACUCCUACGGGAGGCAGCAGUGGGGAAUAUUGCGCAAUGGGCGGAAGCCUGACGCAGCGACGCCGCGUGGGGGAUGAAGGCCUUACGGGUUGUAAACCUCUUUCACCAGGGACGAAGGGAGACUGACGGUAUAUGGGGAAGAAGCGCCGUCUAACUACGUGCCCGCAGCAGCGGU
This 440-nucleotide ribosomal RNA is filed under the name uncultured bacterium. RNAcentral's name for it is "bacterial SSU rRNA". It matches the Rfam family "Bacterial small subunit ribosomal RNA", at positions 64 to 521 of the family's 1533-position model. The record is from RNAcentral.